CUCUGUCCCAUGCUGCAACAGUGGAUAUUGGAGGGAUAUGAGAUUAUUGGAAGAAGCAGCAACUCAGUGAGACUGGAAGACACUGGAACUGGAAAAGCAGUGAUGCAGCUGGCAUUGGAGUAGCUGAGUCAGAGGAUUAUAUAGGAAAACAAUGUGGGAACCAGCUGCUCAGACCCUGUUCUUGAACUUGAUGGACCUGAAGCCGUUUUUCGUUAGUGCAACAAAGCAAUAGGUGGAGACAAGGAUUUGAAUGCUCCAGAACAGCUGCUGAGUCAUGAAGGAGCUGAAAGAAGGCUCUCCACUCCAAGUAAAGAAGCAGAAACCAGAAGACUUCUCUCUGCCAGGACGGUCCAGUCGUGCACUUGCUGCACCUCCAUCAGAAUCAAUGGGAUUACAUUGGAAAAACUCUGUCCUCUGCUGAAGGAAAAGCUUUGCCCUGAGCAGUAACCACUGCUGGAAAACCUUCCUUUCCCACACUGGCAUCUCUCCUAUUGCUGAAGCUAAGACUGAGAAAUCAGAAUCCAAGACUGCAUAUGAUUUCACCUGGCCCACAAGGGCAAUUUUAACAGGCAGAGAUUGGGCAGAGUGAUAAAUACGCAGCCUGCUUUCUACCAGCCAUAUUCCCUUCCUUAAAAGAGCCUUUAUUUGUAUGUCUCAGAGUAGCUAUUCAAGCCUCAGAAAGGCUAUUGCAGCAGUUCGUUAGUAGGAAACCUUGAUAAUGGCUUGGGUCAGCAAAGAUACUGCAGCCAAGAAAUGAAUUUACUCAUGUUUUGCACAGUAAUGAUGAAUCCUCUAAUAAAUGCAAAAUGAUAAUUUUACUAUUGCAUGACUGUUAAGUAUCCAUUACACAGAUUAUAUUUCAGCUACGAUAGAAGUUAGAUAAUUUUGAAUUUUAGUUUCAAUUUAAAUAAUACAUACCUAUGUAAUUGAAAUAAUGUAUAAUACAACAUAACAACAUGUUCAAGUUAAUUUUGAACUUACAUGCUUAUGCCCUGGGGUCCUGACUUUUUCUGGGGAUUGGUGAGGGCAUGACAAAAUGUUCAUUAAAAAUUAUUAUGUGCAAAUCUAUCUAUCUGCUAUGUCAAACAUGAGCAAAUGGAGUGGAAAAGGAAUUUGGCUUGUAACAAUACAAGAGUGGGGGUCAUUGGAUAAGACUCUUCAACCACGCAGCCAAUGCUUCCCUGGGAAAGCCAUGUCAAAUUUAGAAUAGGGAAAACUCUUUUGUUUGAACAAAGGUGACAGUUCAGCUAAAGGCUAGUAAGGGAAAAGAACAAUGUAGUCUUACUCCAAAGUUAUAAUAAUAGUAAUGUGCAGCAGACUGUCUGGGGGACAUUGCUAAGUGCUUUGAAACACACAAGUAACUUUGGUUUAAAUUUAUAAAAUACACAUUUCAAAAACCUAUGGAAUUCAUAAUAUUUUAUGAAGCCAUUCUACAGCUUACAAUUGAUUACAAUUUUUCGUAUGAAAAUUGCAACAGAAUGUUACUGGAGUGGUGUAAUUGAAGUUAAUAACUUGCACUAAUUCUAGCUUUCACCAUUAGAUAUAGUCUCCUACUGAUGUAAAGGAGUAUGCUCAGUAAGCAAAUUUCUACAACAGAAAAAAAUCCUAAUUAACUAAUGUUUUCGCUUUUCAAAACAAUGUAAAUGCUGUCAUGUUCAGAAAAUAAAAAACCAAAUAUAUGAGAAAUAAGAAUAAUAUGCAGUGUGUCCACUAUGUAUAUUAAGGAAUUAUGA
Grus americana (Whooping crane) is the source of this 1733-nucleotide long non-coding RNA. RefSeq lists it as uncharacterized. NCBI's taxonomy places the organism in Eukaryota, Metazoa, Chordata, Aves, Gruiformes, Gruidae. The transcript has 4 exons. The record is from RefSeq and is a predicted model, not a curated record.